GGUUGAUCCUGCCAGUAGUCAUAUGCUUGUCUCAAAGAUUAAGCCAUGCAUGUCCAAGUAUAAGCAUUUAUACAGUGAAACUGCGAAUGGCUCAUUAAAUCAGUUAUCGUUUAUUUGAUCGUGUUACUACUUGGAUAACCGUGGUAAUUCUAGAGCUAAUACAUGCUAGCCUUCGGGCGUAUUUGUUAGAUAAAAAGCCAACUUUUGGUGAUUCAUAGCAACUAGUCGAAUCGCAAUUUGCGAUGGUUCAUUCAAAUUUCUGCCCUAUCAACUGUCGAUGGUAGGAUAG
Molecule: ribosomal RNA, 289 nt
Filed under: uncultured eukaryote
Lineage: Eukaryota
Description: partial 18S ribosomal RNA
Rfam family: Eukaryotic small subunit ribosomal RNA
Source: RNAcentral